This 379-nucleotide ribosomal RNA is filed under the name uncultured bacterium. RNAcentral's name for it is "bacterial SSU rRNA". It matches the Rfam family "Bacterial small subunit ribosomal RNA", at positions 790 to 1167 of the family's 1533-position model. The record is from RNAcentral.
GUAGUCCACGCCCUAAACGAUGCGAACUGGAUGUUGGGCUCAACUCGGAGCUCAGUGUCGAAGCUAACGCGUUAAGUUCGCCGCCUGGGGAGUACGGUCGCAAGACUGAAACUCAAAGGAAUUGACGGGGGCCCGCACAAGCGGUGGAGUAUGUGGUUUAAUUCGAUGCAACGCGCAGAACCUUACCUGGUCUUGACAUGUCGAGAACCUUUCAGAGAUGAGAGGGUGCCUUCGGGAACUCGAACACAGGUGCUGCAUGGCUGUCGUCAGCUCGUGUCGUGAGAUGUUGGGUUAAGUCCCGCAACGAGCGCAACCCUUGUCCUUAGUUGCCAGCACGUAAUGGUGGGAACUCUAAGGAGACUGCCGGUGACAAACCGGA